ACCCUCCCAGCGCAUGAGACAGUCUGCACGGGGCCACACGAACGUGGCCCCCACCAAACGGUGCUGCGACACGGUGGGAGAGGGUUUGCCGCACUAGGCUGCAGUUUGGCAAUGUGCAGUGCACAAAAAAAGGAAGAGCAAAGCAGGCAGGCAGCCACUUCAGACAUUAAGACUUCUAGGACACUUGCACGGACACUCCAGAGUAAGCUACAGUCACUUCAGGCUGGCUGUAAGUGUCAAGCAGGCUGUAGUAGCUACCCAGGUAUCUUUCUCCAGGCAAAACCAGUGCAAUGUGCACUGUGCAGGUCUGCUCCCAUGCUUUGAGUCUCUUCAUCCUCACAGACACCACAACAACUCAGAAGACUCAAAGAGUUACUAACAUCUGACACUAAAGGAGUGACUCUGCUCUUGCGCGUGUUCCACCGAGCAAUCUCUGUAAGGGACAUUUCCUGGAUUGCUGACUUGCAUCCUGGUUGAAUCGCACAGAGGCGCGUCAGUGCACCGCACGUGCGAACACAAUCUCUAGGAAAUGGGGUGAAAAUGCAGUGUCUUCUAAAGAAUUGUGAAAUCUGAGGCCCAGAGGUGAAGCUACAUGAUCUGAGUAAAAGAGGAGUCAGAACUGGGAUUUUAAGCUGCUUAAACUAUUAUCUCAUACUUUUGUAAAGACUUGAUGACUUUGCCUUGCUGGAUUUUCAUUAAAAUGUGCAUUUAAAUAACAACUUGAAUAUGCCAUAAAAAAUGUUAAAUAUUGUUCACAUCCUCUUUCAAUUAAUAUUUACAUUUUGCUAACAGUAGCAUAGAAUAAUGACAUUCAAAUUAAGUUAUCGCUAUGCAGUUUGUUUGUUUAUGGCACACCAUAACCAUGGAAACAACCAUACUCAAUAUCUAUGGUAACAGUCACAGUGGUGUAAACUGUGACACUAAAAAGAGGAAGUUAGUAAGCUGAAGUUACUAAUUCUAAGAAAAUCUUGUCAAAAUUAAAUAUUUCCUGUAACGAAAAUCUGUUUUAUGUCUCUGAGCAAUUUUCAUAAAUCCUUGUUUCAAUAUCAGAUCUGCUGAAGGAUCCGAGAUACUCAAACAUGGAGCUCUGCUGAUGUCAAGAAC
Grus americana (Whooping crane) is the source of this 1104-nucleotide long non-coding RNA. RefSeq lists it as uncharacterized. The record is from RefSeq and is a predicted model, not a curated record. NCBI's taxonomy places the organism in Eukaryota, Metazoa, Chordata, Aves, Gruiformes, Gruidae. The transcript is spliced from 3 exons.